Molecule: ribosomal RNA, 245 nt
Filed under: uncultured bacterium
Lineage: Bacteria
Description: partial 16S ribosomal RNA
Rfam family: Bacterial small subunit ribosomal RNA
Source: RNAcentral
CGUGAGCGGCGGACGGGUGGGUAACGCGUGGGUAACCGUGCCUCAUACAGGGGAGUAACAGUUGGAAACGGCUGCUAAUACCGCAUAAGCGCACAGUACCGCAUGGUACGGUGUGAAAAACUCCGGUGGUAUGAGAUGGACCCGCGUCUGAUUAGGUAGUUGGUGGGGUAACGGCCUACCAAGCCGACGAUCAGUAGCCGACCUGAGAGGGUGACCGGCCACAUUGGGACUGAGACACGGCCCAA